Molecule: long non-coding RNA, 8844 nt
Filed under: Triticum aestivum (bread wheat)
Lineage: Eukaryota; Viridiplantae; Streptophyta; Magnoliopsida; Poales; Poaceae
Description: long non-coding RNA (TAES_LNC019907)
Source: RNAcentral
GUUCCUGGAAAUCUCAGCCCAAAAAAGGACGUUUAGUAAUUCUAAAAGGGACUACAGGAUGAAAAACAAUAGUUUUGGCAGUUAAAGUUUGAGAUUCGAUGGUGCCGUAGACCCGUUUGGUCAUCAGGUGUUACGAGCCACACCCAUGUCUAGCUAGAGUAGUGUGCUAGGUUCAGACUAGAGAAGAAACAGGGAACAAAGUGAUGAAAGAAUGAUCAUACCGAGGGAAUUCACUCAGAACUAACAAGAAUGAUAACGUGCUCCGACUGGAGCGGUUUAGGAACUGCUGGAAGGCUCUAGGGGAAUAAAGAUGGAAUGACUUCUAAUUUUUACGUCCGUAUGAUUUGAAAUACUUGCACACAAACCACGCAAAAGCGUUCCUGGAAAUCUCAGCCUAAAAAAGGACGUUUAGUAAUUCAAAAAGGGACUACAAAAUGAAAAACAAUAGUUUUGGCAGUUAAAGUUUGAGAUUCGAUGGUGCCGUAGAUCCGUUUGGUCAUCAGGUGUUACGAGCCACACCCAUGUCUAGCUAGGAUAGUGUGUUAGGCUCAGGCUAGAGAAGAAACGGGGAACAAACUGAUGAAAGAAUGAUCAUACCGAGGGAAUUCACUCAGAACUAACAAGGAUGAUAACAUGCUCCGACUAGAGCGGUUUAGGAACUGCUGGAAGGCUCUAGGGGAAUAAAGAUGGAAUGACUUCUAAUUUUUAGGUCCGUAUGAUUUGAAAUACUUGCACACAAACCGCAAGAAAGCGUUCCUGGAAAUCUCAGCCCAAAAAAGGACGUUUAGUAAUUCUAAAAGGGACUACAGGAUGAAAAACAAUAGUUCUGGCAGUUAAAGUUUGAGAUUCGAUAAUGCCGUAGAUCUGUUUGGUCAUCAGGUGUAACGAGCCACACCCAUGUCUAGCUAGAGUAGUGUGCUAGGCUCAGACUAGAGAAGAAACGGGGAACAAACUGAUGAAAGAAUGAUUAUACCGAGGGAAUUCACUCAGAACUAACGAGAAUGAUAACGUGCUCCGACUGGAGCGGUUUAGGAACUGCUGGAAGGCUCUAGGGGAAUAAAGAUGGAAUGACUUCAAAUUUUUAGGUCUGUAUGAUUUGAAAUACUUGCACACAAACCGCAAGAAAGCGUUCCUUGAAAUCUCAGCCCAAAAAAGGACGUUUAGUAAUUCUAAAAGGGACUACAGGAUGAAAAACAAUAGUUCUGGCAGUUAAAGUUUGAGAUUCGAUAAUGUCGUAGAUCCGUUUGGUCAUCAGGUGUAACGAGCCACACCCAUGUCUAGCUAGAGUAGUGUGCUAGGCUCAGAAUAGAGAAGAAACGGGGAACAAACUGAUGAAAGAAUGAUCAUACCGAGGGAAUUCACUCAGAACUAACAAGAAUGAUAACGUGCUCCGACUGGAGCGGUUUAGGAACUGCUGGAAGGCUCUAGGGGAAUAAAGAAGGAAUGACUUCUAAUUUUUAGGUCCGUAUGAUUUGAAAUACGUGCACACAAACCGCGCGAAAGCGUUCCUGGAAAUCUCAGCCAAAAAAAGGACGUUUAGUAUUCUAAAAGGGACUACAGAAUGAAAAACAAUAGUUUUGGCAGUUAAAGUUUGAGAUUCGACGGUGCUGUAGAUCCGUUUGGUCAUCAGGUGUUACGAGCCACACCCAUGUCUAGCUAGAAUAGUGUGCUAGGCUCAGGCUAGAGAAGAAAAGGGGAACAAACUAAUGAAAGAAUGAUCAAUCCGAGGGAAUUCACUCAGAACUAACAAUAAUGAUAACGUGCUCCGACUGGAGCGGUUUAGGAACUGCUGGAAGGCUCUAGGCGAAUAAAGAUGGAAUGACUUCUAAUUUUUACGUCCGUAUGAUUUGAAAUACUUGCACACAAACCACGCAAAAGCGUUCCUGGAAGUCUCGGCCUAAAAAGGACGUUUAGUAAUUCUAAAAGGGACUACAGGAUGAAAAAUAAUAGUUUGGGCAGUUAAAAUUUGAGAUUCGACGGUGCCGUAGAUCCAUUUGGUCAUCAAGUGUUACGAGCCACACCCAUGUCUAGCUAGAAUAGUGUGUUAGGCUCAGGCUAGAGAAGAAACGGGGAACAAACUGAUGAAAGAAUGAUCAUACCAAGGGAAUUCACUCAGAACUAACAAGAAUGAUAACGUGCUCCGACUGGAGCAGUUUAGAAACUGCUGGAAGGCUCUUGGGGAAUAAAGAUGGAAUGACUUCAAAUUUUUAGGUCCGUAUGAUUUGAAAUACUUGCACACAAACCACGCGAAAGCGUUCCUGGAAAUCUCAGCCCAAAAAAGGACGUUUAGUAAUUCUAAAAGGGACUACAUGAUGAAAAACAAUAGUUUUGGCAGUUAAAGUUUGAGAAUCGUCGGUGCCGUAGAUCCGUUUGGUCAUCAGCUGUAACGAGCCACACCCAUGUCUAGCUAGAGUAGUGUGCUAGGCUCAGACUAGAGAAGAAACAGGGAACAAAGUGAUGAAAGAAUGAUCAUACCGAGGGAAUUCACUUAGAACUAACAAGAAUGAUAACAUGCUCCGACUUGAGCGAUUUAGGAACUUCUGGAAGGCUCUAGGGGAAUAAAGAUGGAAUGACUCAAAUUUUUAGGCCCGUAUGAUUUGAAAUACAUGCACACAAACCGCGAGAAAGUGUUCCUGGAAAUCUUAGCCCAAAAAAGGACGUUUAGUAAUUCUAAAAGGGACUACAGGAUGAAAAACAAUAGUUUUGGUAGUUAAAGUUUCAGAUUCGAUAAUGCCCUAGAUCCGUUUGGUCAUCAGGUGUAACGAGCCACACCAAUGUCUAGCUAGAGUAGUGUGCUAGGCUCAGACUAGAUAAGAAACGGGGAAGAAACUGAUGAAAGAAUGAUCAGACCGAGGGAAUUCACUCAGAACUAACAAUAAUGAUAACGUGCUCCGAGUGGAGCGGUUUAGGAACUGCUGGAAGGCUCUAGGGGAAUAAAGAUGGAAUGACUUCUAAUUUUUAGGUCCGUAUGAUUUGAAAUACGUGCACACAAACCCCGAGAAACCGUUCCUUGAAAUCUCGGCCCAAAAAAGGACGUUUAGUAAUUCUAAAAGGGACUACAAAAUGAAAAACAAUAGUUUUGGCAGUUAAAGUUUGAGAUUCGACGGUGUCGUAGACCCGUUUGGUCUUCAGGUGUUACGAGCCACACCCAUGUCUAGCCAGAGUAGUGUGCUAGGUUCAGACUAGAGAAGAAACGGGGAACAAAGUGAUGAAAGAAUGAUCAUACCGAGGGAAUUCACUCAGAACUAACAAGAAUGAUAACGUGCUCCGACUGGAGCGGGUUAGGAACUCCUGGAAGGCUCUAGGGGAAUAAAGAUGGAAUGACUUCUAAUUUUUACGUCCGUAUGAUUUGAAAUACUUGCACACAAACCACGCAAAAGCGUUCCUGGAAAUCUCAGCCUAAAAAAGGACGUUUAGUAAUUCUAAAAGGGACUACAGGAUGAAAAAUAAUAGUUUGGUCAUCAGGUGUUACGAGCCACACCCAUGUCUAGCUAGAAUAGUGUGCUAGGCUCAGGCUAGAGAAGAAACGGGGAAUAAACUGAUGAAAGAAUGAUCAAACCGAGGGAAUUCACUCAGAACUAACAAUAAUGAUAACGUUCUCCGUCUGGAGCGGUUUAGGAACUGCUGGAAGGCUCUAGGGGAAUAAAGAUGGAAUGACUUCUAAUUUUUAGGUCCGUAUGAUACGAAAUACUUGCACACAAACCGCGCGAAAUCGUUCCUGGAAAUCUCAGCCCAAAAAAGGACGUUUAGUAAUUCUAAAAGGGACUACAGCAUGAAAAACAAUAGUUCUGGCAGUUAAAGUUUGAGAUUCGAUAAUGCCGUAGAUCCGUUUGGUCAUCAGGUGUAACGAGCCACACCCAUGUCUAGCUAGAGUAGUAUGCUAGGCUCAGACUAGAGAAGAAACGGGGAACAAACUGAUGAAAGAAUGAUUAUACCGAGGGAAUUCACUCAGAACUAACAAGAAUGAUAACGUGCUCCGGCUGGAGCGGUUUAGGAACUGCUAGAAGGCUCUAGGGGAAUAAAGAUGGAAUGACUUCAAAUUUUUAGGUCUGUAUGAUUUGAAAUACUUGCACACAAACCGCAAGAAAGCGUUCCUGGAAAUCUCAGCCCAAAAAAGGACGUUUAGUAAUUCUAAAAGGGACUAUAGGAUGAAAAACAAUAGUUCUGGUAGUUAAAGUUUGAGAUUCGAUAAUGUCAUAGAUCCGUUCGGUCAUCAGGUGUAACGAGCCACACCCAUGUCUAGCUAGAGUAGUGUGCUAGGCUCAGACUAGAGAAGAAACGGGGAACAAACUGAUGAAAGAAUGAUCAUACCGAGGGAAUUCACUCAGAACUAACAAGAAUGAUAACGUGCUCCGACUGGAGCGGUUUAGGAACUGCUGGAAGGCUCUAGGGGAAGAAAGAAGGAAUGACUUCUAAUUUUUAGGUCCGUAUGAUUUGAAAUACGUGCACACAAACCGCGCGAAAGCGUUCCUGGAAAUCUCAGCCCAAAAAAGGACGUUUAGUAUUCUAAAAGGGACUACAGAAUGAAAAACAAUAGUUUUGGCAGUUAAAGUUUGAGAUUCGACGGUGCCGUAGAUCCGUUUGGUCAUCAGGUGUUACGAGCCACACCCAUGUCUAGCUAGAAUAGUGUGCUAGGCUCAGGCUAGAGAAGAAAAGGGGAACAAACUGAUGAAAGAAUGAUCAAACCGAGGGAAUUCACUCAGAACUAACAAUAAUGAUAACGUGCUCCGACUGGAGCGGUUUAGGAACUGCUGGAAGGCUCUUGGCGAAUAAAGAUGGAAUGACUUCUAAUUUUUACGUCCGUAUGAUUUGAAAUACUUCCACACAAACCAGGCAAAGGCGUUCCUGGAAAUCUCGGCCUAAAAAGGACGUUUAGUAAUUCUAAAAGGGACUACAGGAUGAAAAAUAAUAGUUUGGGCAGUUAAAAUUUUAGAUUCGACGGUGCCGUAGAUCCGUUUGGUCAUCAGGUGUUACGAGCCACACCCAUGUCUAGCUAGAAUAGUGUGUUAGGCUCAGGCUAGAGAAGAAACGGGGAACAAACUGAUGAAAGAAUGAUCAUACCAAGGGAAUUCACUCAGAACUAACAAGAAUGAUAACGUGCUCCGACUGGAGCAGUUUAGAAACUACUGGAAGGCUCUAGGGGAAUAAAGAUGGAAUGACUUCAAAUUUUUAGGUCCGUAUGAUUUGAAAUACUUGCACACAAACCGCGCGAAAGCGUUCCUGGAAAUCUCAGCCCAAAAAAGGACGUUUAGUAAUUCUAAAAGGGACUACAUGAUGAAAAACAAUAGUUUUGGCAGUUAAAGUUUGAGAUUCGUCGGUGCCGUAGAUCCGUUUGGUCAUCAGCUGUAACGAGCCACACCCAUUUCUAGCUAGAGUAGUGUGCUAGGCUCAGACUAAAGAAGAAAUGGGGAACAAAGUGAUGAAAGAAUGCUCAUACCGAGGGAAUUCACUCAGAACUAACAAGAAUGAUAACAUGCUCCGACUUGAGCGAUUUAGGAACUUCUGGAAGGCUCUAGGGGAAUAAAGAUGGAAUGACUCAAAUUUUUAGGUCCGUAUGAUUUGAAAUACUUGCACACAAACCGCGAGAAAGCGUUCCUGGAAAUCUCAGCCCAAAAAAGGACGUUUAGUAAUUCUAAAAGGGACUACAUGAUGAAAAACAAUAGUUUUGGCAGUUAAAGUUUGAGAUUUGAUAAUGCCGUAGAUCCGUUUGGUCAUCAGGUGUAACGAGCCACACCCAUGUCUAGCUAGAGUAGUGUGCUAGGCUAAGACUAGAUAAGAAAAGGGGAAGAAACUUAUGAAAGAAUGAUCAGACCGAGGGAAUUCACUCAGAACUAACAAUAAUGAUAACGUGCUCCGACUGGAGCGGUUUAGGAACUGCUGGAAGGCUCUAGGGGAAUAAAGAUGGAAUGACUUCUAAUUUUUAGGUCCGUAUGAUUUGAAAUACGUGCACACAAACCCCGAGAAACCGUUCCUGGAAAUCUCGGCCCAAAAAAGGAUGUUUAGUAAUUCUAAAAGGGACUACAAAAUGAAAAACAAUAGUUUUGGCAGUUAAAGUUUGAGAUUUGAUGGUGCCGUAGAUCUGUUUGGUCAUCAGGUGUUACGAGCCACACCCAUGUCUAGCUAGAAUAGUGUGUUAGGCUCAGGCUAGAAAAGAAACGGGAAACAAAGUGAUGAAAGAAUGAUCAUACCGAGGGAAUUCACUCAGAACUAACAAGAAUGAUAACAUGCUCUGACUGGAGCGGUUUAGGAACUGCUGGAAGGCUCUAGGGGAAUAAAGAUGGAAUGACUUCUAAUGUUUAGGUCCGUAUGAUUUGAAAUACUUGCACAUAAACCGCGCAAAAGCGUUCCUGGAAAUCUCAGCCCAAAAAAGGACGUUUAGUAAUUCUAAAAGGGACUACAGGAUGAAAAACAAUAGUUUUGGCAGUUAAAGUUUGAGAUUCGACGGUGCCGUAGAUCCGUUUGUUCAUCAGGUGUUACGAGCCACACCCAUGUCUAGCUAGAAUAGUGUGUUAGGCUCAGGCUAGAGAAGAAACGGGGAACAAACUGAUGAAAGAAUGAUCAAACCGAGGGAAUUCACUCAGAACUAACAAUAAUGAUAACGUGCUCCGACUAGAGCGGUUUAGGAACUGCUGGAAGGCUCUAGGGGAAUAAAGAUGGAAUGACUUCUAAUUUUUAGGUCUGUAUGAUUUGAAAUACUUGCACGCAAACCGCGCGAAAGCGUUCCCGGAAAUAUCAGCCUAAAGAAGGACGUUUAGUAAUUCUAAAAGGGACUACAGGAUGAAAAACAAUAGUUUUGGCAGUUAAAGUUUGAGAUUCAACGGUGCCGUAGAUCCGUUUGGUCAUCAGGUGUUACGAGCCACACCCAUGUCUAGCUAGAGUAGUGUGCUAGGCUCAGGCUAGAGAAGAAACAGGGAACAAACUGAUGAAAGAAUGAUCAUACCGAGGGAAUUCACUCAGAACUGAUGAAAGAAUGAUCAAACCAAGGAAAUUCACUCAGAACUAACAAUAAUGAUAACAUGCUCCGACUGGAGCGGUUUAGGAACUGCUGGAAGGCUCUAGGGGAAUAAAGAUGGAAUGACUUCUAAUUUUUAGGUCCGUAUGAUUUGAAAUACGUGCACACAAACCCCGAGAAACCGUUCCUGGAAAUCUCGGCCCAAAAAAGGACGUUUAGUAAUUCUAAAAGGGACAACAAAAUGAAAAACAAUAGUUUUGGCAGUUAAAGUUUGAGAUUCGACGGUGCCGUAGACCCGUUUGGUCAUCAGGUGUUACGAGCCACACCCAUGUCUAGCUAGAGUAGUGUGCUAGGUUCAGACUAGAGAAGAAACGGGGAACAAAGUGAUGAAAGAAUGAUCAUACCGAGGGAAUUCACUCAGAACUAACAAGAAUGAUAACGUGCUCCGACUGGAGCGGGUUAGGAAUUGCUGGAAGGCUCUAGGGGAAUAAAGAUAGAAUGACUUCUAAUUUUUACGUCCGUAUGAUUUGAAAUACUUGCACACAAACCACGCAAAAGCGUUCCUAGAAAUCUCAGCCUAAAAAAGGACGUUUAGUAAUUCUAAAAGGGACUACAGGAUGAAAAAUAAUAGUUUGGCCAGUUAAAAUUUAAGAUUCGACGGUGCCGUAGAUCCGCUUGGUCAUCAGGUGUUACGAGCCACACCCAUGUCUAGCUAGAAUAGUGUGUUAGGCUCAGGCUAGAGAAGAAACGGGGAACAAACUGAUGAAAGAAUGAUCAUACCGAGGGAAUUCACUCAGAACUAACAAGAAUGAUAACAUGCUCCGACUGGAGCGGUUUAGGAACUGCUGGAAGGCUCUAGGGGAAUAAAGAUGGAAUGACUUCUAAUUUUUAGGUCCGUAUGAUUUGAAAUACUUGCACACAAACCGCAAGAAAGCGUUCCUGGAAAUCUCAGCACAAAAAAGGACGUUUAGUAAUUCUAAAAGGGACUACAGCAUGAAAAACAAUAGUUCUGGCAGUUAAAGUUUGAGAUUCGAUAAUGCCGUAGAUCCGUUUGGUCAUCAGGUGUAACGAGCCACACCCAUGUCUAGCUAGAGUAGUGUGCUAGGCUCAGACUAGAGAAGAAACGGGGAACAAAAUGAUGAAAGAAUGAUUAUACCGAGGGAAUUCACUCAGAACUAACAAGAAUGAUAACGUGCUCCGACUGGAGCGGUUUAGGAACUGCUGGAAGGCUCUAGGGGAAUAAAGAUGGAAUGACUUCAAAUUUUUAGGUCUGUAUGAUUUGAAAUACUUGCACACAAACCGCAAGAAAGCGUUCCUGGAAAUCUCAGCCCAAAAAUGGACGUUUAGUAAUUCUAAAAGGGACUAUAGGAUGAAAAACAAUAGUUCUGGCAGUUAAAGUUUGAGAUUCGAUAAUGUCGUAGAUCCGUUCGGUCAUCAGGUGUAACGAGCCACACCCAUGUCUAGCUAGAGUAGUGUGCUAGGCUCAGACUAGAGAAGAAACGGGGAACAAACUGAUGAAAGAAUGAUCAUACCGAGGGAAUUCACUCAGAACUAACAAGAAUGAUAACGUGCUCCGACUGGAGCGGUUUAGGAACUGCUGGAAGGCUCUAGGGGAAGAAAGAAGGAAUGACUUCUAAUUUUUAGGUCCGUAUGAUUUGAAAUACGUGCACACAAACCGCGCGAAAGCGUUCCUGGAAAUCUCAGCCCAAAAAAGGACGUUUAGUAUUCUAAAAGGGACUACAGAAUGAAAAACAAUAGUUUUGGCAGUUAAAGUUUGAGAUUCGACGGUGCCGUAGAUCCGUUUGGUCAUCAGGUGUUACGAGCCACACCCAUGUCUAGCUAGAAUAGUGUGCCAGGCUCAGGCUAGAGAAGAAAAGGGGAACAAACUGAUG